UCCGGCUUUCACCGGCUGUCUCGCUAGAGUGCCCACCCGAAGUGCUGGCAACUAGCGACAAGGGUUGCGCUCGUUGCGGGACUGAACCCAACAUCUCACGACACGAGCUGACGACAACCAUGCACCACCUGUCACCGCUGCCCCGAAGGGAAGCUCCAUCUCUGGAGCGGUCAGCGGGAUGUCAAGCCCUGGUAAGGUUCUUCGCGUUGCUUCGAAUUAAACCACAUGCUCCACCGCUUGUGCGGGCCCCCGUCAAUUCCUUUGAGUUUCAGCCUUGCGGCCGUACUCCCCAGGCGGAGUGCUUAAUGGGUUGCCUUCGGCACUGAAGGCGUGAAGCCUCCAACACCUAGCACUCAUCGUUUACGGCGUGGACUAC
Molecule: unclassified non-coding RNA, 376 nt
Filed under: uncultured Thermoactinomycetaceae bacterium
Lineage: Bacteria; Bacillati; Bacillota; Bacilli; Caryophanales; Thermoactinomycetaceae
Description: contains 16S-23S intergenic spacer region
Source: RNAcentral